CUUUCCUUUGUAAUCUUUUCUUUUCUCACCAAAUCUGCUCUUCCAAACUAGCUAUCAGUCAACUCCUUUAUUCUUAACCCCAUUUAUUCAUUUUCCAAAACCCUAGCAGCAACGGAGGCAGCAGCCGCCGUCAUCAAAGAUGCAGAUCUUCAUGAAAACCUUGACGGGGAAGACCAUCAACCACUUGAGGUGGAGUCUUCUAACACCAUCGACAAUGUCAAGGCCAAAAUCCAGGACAAGGAGGCCAUCCCCUUGGACCAGCAGUGCCUCAUCUUCGCCGACAAAUAGCUGGAGGACGGCUGCACCCUAGUCGACUACAACAUCCAAAAGGAGUCCACCCUCCACCUCAUCCUCCGCCUCCGCGCCAAGAAGCUCAAGAAGAAGACCUACACCAAGCCCAAGAAGAUCAAGCACAAGAAGAAGAAGGUCAAGCUUGCCGUCCUCCAGUUCUACAAGGUCAAUGCUCAGGAAUUCAAGGUGGGGGAUGAAGUAUUCGAAGACAUUGACAAAGCCAAAGGGAUGUGGGUCACUGGCGGAGUACACUACAGUGGAGGAGAAGGUACUUGCUUCGAAGCCCAAGAAUUUGAGUUUUGCUGAGGCUGCUAGCCUUCCUGUUGCCGUUGAAUAGCGUACAGGAGAGUUGAAAGCACUAGGCUUUCAGCUGGUAAAUCACUUCUUGUUCUGGGUGGUGCUGGUAGAGUUGGAUCUUUUAUCAUUCAGGUCUAUGCAGCUGCUACUGUCUUUCUUGUACCUUUUUUGGAGAGGAAGGGAAAUUUCCUGAGGAUUGGAAAUGAUUCAGAUAGGUUGUCUUCAAUUGAGUCAAAAAGUGCAUUGGUUGGGAAUGAGAGCCAAAAAAUGAAGGGUUAUUGUCUGCUACAUCCUCCUCACAUAGCAAGCUGCUGAAGAUAUGUUGCUUAUUUUAGAUUUUUGGAAAGAUCAACAGCAAGAGUUGUUAAUUGACUCAAGAACUAUAGAGAAAAUCUUAUGCUCAAGAUAUGUUUCAACGACACAUUUUUUUUGGGGACUUGGAUUUGUUUUGUAAAACUGCCUUGACUUAUAUGUGAAAUUUAGGUCAAAUACCACUUAUCAAACUAUUUGUAGGGUGUUGUUGAACUUGAUUAUGAUAUUU
This is a long non-coding RNA of Coffea eugenioides, 1129 nucleotides long. RefSeq lists it as uncharacterized. The transcript has 5 exons. NCBI's taxonomy places the organism in Eukaryota, Viridiplantae, Streptophyta, Magnoliopsida, Gentianales, Rubiaceae. The record is from RefSeq and is a predicted model, not a curated record.